RNAcentral lists this ribosomal RNA (270 nucleotides) under unidentified soil organism R6-73. RNAcentral describes it as "partial 16S ribosomal RNA". It matches the Rfam family "Bacterial small subunit ribosomal RNA", at positions 1224 to 1501 of the family's 1533-position model. The record is from RNAcentral.
GCUACAAUGGCGUAUACAAAGUGUUGCAAGCCAGCGAUGGUGANCCAAUCACAAAAAGUACGUCUCAGUUCGGAUUGCAGNCUNCAACUCGCCUGCAUGAAGUUGGAAUCGCUAGUAAUCGCGCAUCAGCAAUGGCGCGGUGAAUACGUUCCCGGACCUUGUACACACCGCCCGUCAAGCGAUGGAAGUUGGGAGGACCUGAUGACAGGUNCUGUAAGGCGCUGUUUAGGGUUAAACCGAUGACUGGCGCUAAGUCGUAACAAGGUAACC